UUCUAUGGCCAUACGACCCUGAGCGCAUCCCAUCUCAUCUGAUCUCAGAAGCUAAGCAGGAUCGGGCCUGGUUAGUACUUGGAUGGGAGACUACAUGGGAAUACCGGGUGCUGUAGGCU
Molecule: ribosomal RNA, 119 nt
Organism: Balaenoptera musculus (blue whale)
Lineage: Eukaryota; Metazoa; Chordata; Mammalia; Artiodactyla; Balaenopteridae
Source: Ensembl